AGUGAACGCUGGCGGUAGGCCUAACACAUGCGAGUCGAACGGCAGCACAGUAAGAGCUUGCUCUUACGGGUGGCGAGUGGCGGACGGGUGAGGAAUACAUCGGAAUCUACUUUUUCGUGGGGGAUAACGUAGGGAAACUUACGCUAAUACCGCAUACGACCUACGGGUGAAAGCAGGGGAUCUUCGGACCUUGCGCGAUUGAAUAAGCCGAUGUCGGAUUAGCUAGUUGGCGGGGUAAAGGCCCACCAAGGCGACGAUCCGUAGCUGGUCUGAGAGAAUGAUCAGCCACACUGGAACUGAGACACGGUCCAGACUCCUACGGGAGGCAGCAGUGGGGAAUAUUGGACAAUGGGCGCAAGCCUGAUCCAGCCAUACCGCGUGGGUGAAGAAGGCCUUCGGGUUGUAAAGCCCUUUUGUUGGGAAAGAAAAGCAGCAGGUUAAUACCCCGCUGUUCUGACGGUACCCAAAGAAUAGGCACCGGCUAACUUCGUG
RNAcentral lists this ribosomal RNA (492 nucleotides) under uncultured bacterium. RNAcentral's name for it is "partial 16S ribosomal RNA". It matches the Rfam family "Bacterial small subunit ribosomal RNA", at positions 29 to 507 of the family's 1533-position model. The record is from RNAcentral.